RNAcentral lists this long non-coding RNA (512 nucleotides) under Rattus norvegicus (Norway rat). RNAcentral's name for it is "long non-coding RNA NONRATT021749". Lineage: Eukaryota; Metazoa; Chordata; Mammalia; Rodentia; Muridae. The record is from RNAcentral.
CAGAAAACUUCAUAAAUUAAAAACAAGGGAAGAAUGGUGUAAUGUGUGCAGUGUGUUAUCUUUAUUAUCUGCUGGCUCACAUCUAAGUUAUUAAAGUAAAGGAAAUCUCUCAAGGCCUCCAUUUUAACUUAAAACCUACUUUAUACAUCACUCCCAAAAUGAGUGAGGAGGAGAUCACUUACUCAACUGUGAGAUUUAAAAUAUCUUCAGAAGUACAGAACCAAGUGAGGCCUAAGGAGCCUCAAAGGACCAGAGAAGCUGUCCACAGAGGUAAGUGUUUUAAAUGUCUAAAAUUACUUGAUUUUUAUGCAUCUUAAAAAUUUAACAAUUUAAAAAUAUCCUACUGGUUUCUAUUGAAAUUCAUAAUUUUCGAAAACAUCUGGGCUUGAUUAUGCACAAGGGUAGAAGGGAAUCAGAAGUAUUAGUUGGAGGGUAAUCAAGUACAAAAUUGUUCAAAACUAAGUUUAAAGUAUAAAGCAGUCAAGUUUUAAAAUUAAAAAAAGAAAGAAUUG